AUUGAACGCUGGCGGCAGGCUUAACACAUGCAAGUCGAGCGGGGUGAUGGUGCUUGCACUAUCACUUAGCGGCGGACGGGUGAGUAAUGCUUAGGAAUCUGCCUAUUAGUGGGGGACAACAUCUAGAAAGGGAUGCUAAUACCGCAGACGUCCUACGGGAGAAAGCAGGGGAUCACUUGUGACGUUGCGCUACAAGAUGAGCCUAAGUCGGAUUAGCUAGUUGGUGGGGUAAAGGCCUACCAAGGCGACGAUCUGUAGCGGGUCUGAGGGGAUGAUCCGCCACACUGGGACUGAGACACGGCCCAGACUCCUACGGGAGGCAGCAGUGGGGAAUAUUGGACAAUGGGGGGAACCCUGAUCCAGCCAUGCCGCGUGUGUGAAGAAGGCCUUAUGGUUGUAAAGCACUUUAAGCGAGGAGGAGGCUCUUUUGGUUAAUACCCAAGAUGAGUGGACGUUACUCGCAGAAUAAGCACCGGCUAACUCUGUGCCAGCCGCCGCUGUAA
This 503-nucleotide ribosomal RNA is filed under the name uncultured bacterium. RNAcentral's name for it is "partial 16S ribosomal RNA". It matches the Rfam family "Bacterial small subunit ribosomal RNA", at positions 30 to 523 of the family's 1533-position model. The record is from RNAcentral.